CCCGCUGAACUUAAGCAUAUUAAUAAGCGGAGGAAAAGAAACUAACAAGGAUUCCCCUAGUAACGGCGAGUGAAGCGGGAAGAGCUCAAGCUUAAAAUCUCCGUGCAAGUUUUGUGCGGCGAAUUGUAGUCUAUAGAAGCGUGGUCAGCAUGGGCACUUGGGGCAAGUUCCUUGGAAGAGGACAGCAUGGAGGGUGAUACUCCCGUUCAUUUCUGAGUUGCUCGUGCGUACGACCCGUUUUCUUUGAGUCGCGUUGUUUGGGAAUGCAGCGCAAAGUAGGUGGUAAAUUCCAUCUAAAGCUAAAUAUUGGUGCGAGACCGAUAGCGAACAAGUACCGUGAGGGAAAGAUGAAAAGAACUUUGAAAAGAGAGUUAAAGAGUACCUGAAACUGCUGAAAGGGAACCGAAUCGUUUCCAGUGUCUAUAAUCCGUGGUAUAUUUCAUUGGCGAGUGUGUGCGUGCGUGUGCUGUGGCAGCGGCUUUUUUGGCUGCGCUCGGCGUGUGUGCUGUGUGUGCUUGCUGGUGCUCUGUGCUGCGGUGGGACGUCAAGGUCAGUUCGUAUGCUGCGGGAAAUGGCUGCCGAGGAGGUAGGGCUUACGCUUGCGUUUGUCUGUUAUAUCUUGGUGGACGAGUAGUCGCGGUUGGGACUGAGGUGCCUACAACGUGCUUUUGAGUGGGUUUGUGUCUCCGUGUGCGCCGUGUGCGGAUAGCUUGCUAUGCGUGUGUGGUUGUGUGUGGAUUGAUGCGAGCUUUAACUUGUUGCCGUUCGGGACGUUGACGAAAUGGAGCGAUUCGACCCGUCUUGAAACACGGACCAAGGAGUCUAACAUGUGUGCAAGUGUUAGGGUGUGGAAACCCCAGCGCGAAAUGAAAGUGAAGGGCAGCGUAAGUUGUCUGAGGUAGGAAAUGCUGCGGGCUUCGGUYUGCGGUGUGGCACUAUCGACCGAUCAUGAACCUUCGUGGUGAAAGAUUUGAGUUUGAGCACAUAUGUUGGUACCCGAAAGAUGGUGAACUAUGCCUGAGUAGGGUGAAGCCAGGGGAAACUCUGGUGGAAGCUCGUAGCGAUUCUGACGUGCAAAUCGAUCGUCAAACUUGGGUAUAGGGGCGAAAGACUAAUCGAACCAUCUAGUAGCUGGUUCCCUCCGAAAUUUCCCUCAGGAUAGCAGCAACUUAUUUACGAUAGUUUUAUGAGGUAAAGCGAAUGAUUAGAGGAUUCGGGGAAGAAACUUCCUCGACCUAUUCUCAAACUUUAAAUCUGUAAGACCUGCAGGUUUCUUAAUUGAACUUGUGGAUGUGAAUAUCAAGUUGCUAGUGGGCCAUACGGGGUAAGCUCGUCUGGCG
Molecule: ribosomal RNA, 1340 nt
Rfam family: Eukaryotic large subunit ribosomal RNA